AAUAUGGAAUACGGGGGCUUGAGUGAAUCAGGCUGAGACUGCAGAUGUUGAUCCCGCUGCUGACCGUUAAUCUGAACUGGGUAAUGCCAGCGUAGAGAAUAUCCGACCCUGAUAG
This 115-nucleotide non-coding RNA is filed under the name Paenibacillus uliginis. RNAcentral describes it as "TPP sequence". It matches the Rfam family "TPP riboswitch aptamer (THI element)". Rfam says of the family: Vitamin B(1) in its active form thiamin pyrophosphate (TPP) is an essential coenzyme that is synthesised by coupling of pyrimidine and thiazole moieties in bacteria. The previously detected thiamin-regulatory element, thi box was extended, resulting in a new, highly conserved RNA secondary structure, the THI element, which is widely distributed in eubacteria and also occurs in some archaea. Analysis of operon structures identified a large number of new candidate thiamin-regulated genes, mostly transporters, in various prokaryotic organisms. RNAcentral also lists the same sequence under 1 other name. Lineage: Bacteria; Bacillati; Bacillota; Bacilli; Caryophanales; Paenibacillaceae. The record is from RNAcentral.